AAACCGUGUACGUACAAGCAGUGGGAGCCUCUUUAUGGGGUGACUGCGUACCUUUUGUAUAAUGGGUCAGCGACUUAUAUUCUGUAGCAAGGUUAACCGAAUAGGGGAGCCGAAGGGAAACCGAGUCUUAACUGGGCGUUAAGUUGCAGGGUAUAGACCCGAAACCCGGUGAUCUAGCCAUGGGCAGGUUGAAGGUUGGGUAACACUAACUGGAGGACCGAACCGACUAAUGUUGAAAAAUUAGCGGAUGACUUGUGGCUGGGGGUGAAAGGCCAAUCAAACCGGGAGAUAGCUGGUUCUCCCCGAAAGCUAUUUAGGUAGCGCCUCGUGAAUUCAUCUCCGGGGGUAGAGCACUGUUUCGGCAAGGGGGUCAUCCCGACUUACCAACCCGAUGCAAACUGCGAAUACCGGAGAAUGUUAUCACGGGAGACACACGGCGGGUGCUAACGUCCGUCGUGAAGAGGGAAACAACCCAGACCGCCAGCUAAGGUCCCAAAGUCAUGGUUAAGUGGGAAACGAUGUGGGAAGGCCCAGACAGCCAGGAUGUUGGCUUAGAAGCAGCCAUCAUUUAAAGAAAGCGUAAUAGCUCACUGGUCGAGUCGGCCUGCGCGGAAGAUGUAACGGGGCUAAACCAUGCACCGAAGCUGCGGCAGCGACACUAUGUGUUGUUGGGUAGGGGAGCGUUCUGUAAGCCUGUGAAGGUGGCCUGUGAGGGUUGCUGGAGGUAUCAGAAGUGCGAAUGCUGACAUAAGUAACGAUAAAGCGGGUGAAAAGCCCGCUCGCCGGAAGACCAAGGGUUCCUGUCCAACGUUAAUCGGGGCAGGGUGAGUCGACCCCUAAGGCGAGGCCGAAAGGCGUAGUCGAUGGGAAACAGGUUAAUAUUCCUGUACUUGGUGUUACUGCGAAGGGGGGACGGAGAAGGCUAUGUUGGCCGGGCGACGGUUGUCCCGGUUUAAGCGUGUAGGCUGGUUUUCCAGGCAAAUCCGGAAAACCAAGGCUGAGGCGUGAUGACGAGGCACUACGGUGCUGAAGCGACAAAUGCCCUGCUUCCAGGAAAAGCCUCUAAGCAUCAGGUAACAUCAAAUCGUACCCCAAACCGACACAGGUGGUCAGGUAGAGAAUACCAAGGCGCUUGAGAGAACUCGGGUGAAGGAACUAGGCAAAAUGGUGCCGUAACUUCGGGAGAAGGCACGCUGAUAUGUAGGUGAAGCGACUUGCUCGUGGAGCUGAAAUCAGUCGAAGAUACCAGCUGGCUGCAACUGUUUAUUAAAAACACAGCACUGUGCAAACACGAAAGUGGACGUAUACGGUGUGACGCCUGCCCGGUGCCGGAAGGUUAAUUGAUGGGGUUAGCGGUAACGCGAAGCUCUUGAUCGAAGCCCCGGUAAACGGCGGCCGUAACUAUAACGGUCCUAAGGUAGCGAAAUUCCUUGUCGGGUAAGUUCCGACCUGCACGAAUGGCGUAAUGAUGGCCAGGCUGUCUCCACCCGAGACUCAGUGAAAUUGAACUCGCUGUGAAGAUGCAGUGUACCCGCGGCAAGACGGAAAGACCCCGUGAACCUUUACUAUAGCUUGACACUGAACAUUGAGCCUUGAUGUGUAGGAUAGGUGGGAGGCUUUGAAGUGUGGACGCCAGUCUGCAUGGAGCCGACCUUGAAAUACCACCCUUUAAUGUUUGAUGUUCUAACGUUGGCCCGUAAUCCGGGUUGCGGACAGUGUCUGGUGGGUAGUUUGACUGGGGCGGUCUCCUCCUAAAGAGUAACGGAGGAGCACGAAGGUUGGCUAAUCCUGGUCGGACAUCAGGAGGUUAGUGCAAUGGCAUAAGCCAGCUUGACUGCGAGCGUGACGGCGCGAGCAGGUGCGAAAGCAGGUCAUAGUGAUCCGGUGGUUCUGAAUGGAAGGGCCAUCGCUCAACGGAUAAAAGGUACUCCGGGGAUAACAGGCUGAUACCGCCCAAGAGUUCAUAUCGACGGCGGUGUUUGGCACCUCGAUGUCGGCUCAUCACAUCCUGGGGCUGAAGUAGGUCCCAAGGGUAUGGCUGUUCGCCAUUUAAAGUGGUACGCGAGCUGGGUUUAGAACGUCGUGAGACAGUUCGGUCCCUAUCUGCCGUGGGCGCUGGAGAACUGAGGGGGGCUGCUCCUAGUACGAGAGGACCGGAGUGGACGCAUCACUGGUGUUCGGGUUGUCAUGCCAAUGGCACUGCCCGGUAGCUAAAUGCGGAAGAGAUAAGUGCUGAAAGCAUCUAAGCACGAAACUUGC
This 2259-nucleotide ribosomal RNA is filed under the name Escherichia coli. RNAcentral's name for it is "partial 23S ribosomal RNA". It matches the Rfam family "Bacterial large subunit ribosomal RNA", at positions 553 to 2797 of the family's 2925-position model. Lineage: Bacteria; Pseudomonadati; Pseudomonadota; Gammaproteobacteria; Enterobacterales; Enterobacteriaceae. The record is from RNAcentral.